UUUGAGAUCCUUCUGAAUCUCGUCGAGAGCUGUCUUACUCGUCGCCAGCACACAUAUAUGUUGGAAAGAAGGCUCGAGACGACGAAGCGUUGUUAUGUUUGCUCUGACUGCGUGGCGAGCAACUUCCAUUACAUCUCUAGAUAGGUACAGUCCUUGUUUCCCUUCUCUGUCUUCUCUCAACUCCAUGCUCUUGUAGCUUGUGUCAUCCAUGCCUUUAUGUGUUCUCACCAGCUGUUAAUAGUAUCAUGAGUCAAAACAAAGAUCAGAGCAAGAGUGAUGUUUAUAUGUUAUGACCACCUGCAUAAGCUGAUAUUUGGAGCGCCAUUUAUCGAUACGCCGACUAGAGAGCAUGACCGCAGCUGCUCCCAUCCGGA
This 374-nucleotide long non-coding RNA is filed under the name Brassica napus (rape). RNAcentral describes it as "long non-coding RNA (BNAP_LNC020736)". The record is from RNAcentral. Lineage: Eukaryota; Viridiplantae; Streptophyta; Magnoliopsida; Brassicales; Brassicaceae.